This 541-nucleotide ribosomal RNA is filed under the name uncultured organism. Its description in RNAcentral is "SSU rRNA". It matches the Rfam family "Bacterial small subunit ribosomal RNA", at positions 505 to 1045 of the family's 1533-position model. The record is from RNAcentral.
GUGCCAGCCGCCGCGGUAAUACGUAGGGUGCGAGCGUUGUCCGGAAUUACUGGGCGUAAAGAGCUCGUAGGUGGUUUGUCGCGUUGUUCGUGAAAACUCACAGCUUAACUGUGGGCGUGCGGGCGAUACGGGCAGACUAGAGUACUGCAGGGGAGACUGGAAUUCCUGGUGUAGCGGUGGAAUGCGCAGAUAUCGGGAGGAACACCGGUGGCGAAGGCGGGUCUCUGGGCAGUAACUGACGCUGAGGAGCGAAAGCGUGGGGAGCGAACAGGAUUAGAUACCCUGGUAGUCCACGCCGUAAACGGUGGGUACUAGGUGUGGGUUCCUUCCUUGGGAUCCGUGCCGUAGCUAACGCAUUAAGUACCCCGCCUGGGGAGUACGGCCGCAAGGCUAAAACUCAAAGGAAUUGACGGGGGCCCGCACAAGCGGCGGAGCAUGUGGAUUAAUUCGAUGCAACGCGAAGAACCUUACCUGGGUUUGACAUGCACAGGACGCCGGCAGNAGAUGUCGGUUCCCUUGUGGCCUGUGUGCAAGGGCGAUU